Molecule: ribosomal RNA, 447 nt
Filed under: uncultured bacterium
Lineage: Bacteria
Description: bacterial SSU rRNA
Rfam family: Bacterial small subunit ribosomal RNA
Source: RNAcentral
GAUGAACGCUGGCGGCGUGCUUAACACAUGCAAGUCGAGCGAAGCACUUAAGUUCGAUUCUUCGGAUGAGGACUUUUGUGACUGAGCGGCGGACGGGUGAGUAACGCGUGGGUAACCUGCCUCAUACAGGGGGAUAACAGUUAGAAAUGGCUGCUAAUACCGCAUAAGACCACAGUACUGCAUGGUACAGUGGUAAAAACUCCGGUGGUAUGAGAUGGACCCGCGUCUGAUUAGGUAGUUGGUGAGGUAACGGCCCACCAAGCCGACGAUCAGUAGCCGACCUGAGAGGGUGACCGGCCACAUUGGGACUGAGACACGGCCCAGACUCCUACGGGAGGCAGCAGUGGGGAAUAUUGCACAAUGGGCGAAAGCCUGAUGCAGCGACGCCGCGUGAAGGAUGAAGUAUUUCGGUAUGUAAACUUCUAUCAGCAGGGAAGAAAAUGACGG